Molecule: ribosomal RNA, 518 nt
Filed under: uncultured fungus
Lineage: Eukaryota; Fungi
Description: eukaryotic LSU rRNA
Rfam family: 5.8S ribosomal RNA (bases 167-320)
Source: RNAcentral
AUCUUACGAGAACUUGCCCUUCGGGGUAGAUCUCCCACCCUUUGUUUACAUUACCUUUGUUGCUUUGGCGGGCCCGUCUUGCGACCACCGGCUUCGGCUGGUCAGUGCCCGCCAGAGGACCCCAAACUCUCUUGUUAAUGUCGUCUGAGUACUAUAUAAUAGUUAAAACUUUCAACAACGGAUCUCUUGGUUCUGGCAUCGAUGAAGAACGCAGCGAAAUGCGAUAAGUAAUGUGAAUUGCAGAAUUCAGUGAAUCAUCGGAUCUUUGAACGCACAUUGCGCCCUGUGGUAUUCCGCAGGGCAUGCCUGUUCGAGCGUCAGUACAACACUCAAGCCUAGCUUGGUCUUGGGCCUCGCCGGAAACGGCGGGCCUUAAAAGUAGUGGCGGCGCCCGCUGGGCUCUAAGCGUAGUAAUACUCCUCGCUAUAGGGACCCGGUGGAUGCUGGCCAGCAACCCCCAACUUUCUAAGUUUGACCUCGGAUCAGGUAGGGAUACCCGCUGAACUUAAGCAUAUCAA